RNAcentral lists this ribosomal RNA (119 nucleotides) under Nicotiana attenuata. Lineage: Eukaryota; Viridiplantae; Streptophyta; Magnoliopsida; Solanales; Solanaceae. The record is from RNAcentral.
GGAUGCGAUCAUACCAGCACUAACGCACCGGAUCCCAUCAGAACUCCGUAGUCAAGCGUGCUUGGGCGAGAGUAGUACUAGGAUGGGUGACCCCCUGGGAAGUCCUCGUGUUGCAUCCU